Molecule: long non-coding RNA, 5630 nt
Filed under: Sus scrofa (pig)
Lineage: Eukaryota; Metazoa; Chordata; Mammalia; Artiodactyla; Suidae
Description: lncRNA (ENSSSCG00045013529.1)
Source: RNAcentral
AUUUCCAGUAAACGGUUAGCAAGAUCUCUUUUAAAAAUGUCAGAGCUCUUUCUGAGUGGAGAACAUUUCUCAGAGAAUGAUUAUAACGUGCCCUGUGACUGCUUGCACUUCCAUCACGACUUCGAUGCCUUGCUGCACCCUUUUGCCAAUUGCUAGACUAAGGGCUUCUAAGUGGGAACUUCCUAACACAAAGCAAGAAUCACAGCCGAAAGGGGCUGACCUUUGAUUAUCUGAACUUAGCUUCAGAACCCAUUAAGACCCCAGUGGAAAUUCCAACAAUGUGGCUUAUUCACCAAGGUGCAGAUCCCCACCGGUAAAGCUGGAAGUUGCUGGGGGAUUUGCUCCCUCUGAGAAGUGCUAAUCAUUAACAAUAGACUCCCACCAAGCGGUAAUCACUCUAAGUUACAGAAGAAAAAUUCAAAAUUGCGCCGGUGGUGAUGGUGGCUUGGUUACUCUCUGGCAAGUCUUAGAAAACUCAGAUAGGAAGUUUCUGUGUACUAUAUUUUAUUGUUGUUUGUUCAAUGUAGAUUCCAAUUUACAGUAACUUACAGAAAUGACUCCAUUUAGGGCUCUUUUCUCAUGGAAAUAAAUAGUAAUUUAUGUACUAGCUGUCAUUUAGGCUUCAAAAGUAAGUGAAAUAAGUGAAUGCUUGAUUUGAUUUUCAGGAUUUUCCAAAGGCCAUUUCACCCCACUUCCCCAAUUGUUUCAACCAGUAUCUAGAAUUCCUGUCAGUCAAAUCAACUUGGGAGCUAUGAUGUCAUUUUCAAAAACCUUGGGAUUUCAAUAUAUGUAGCUACAUUGUAACUCCUUCCCCAAAGUUAAUAGCUUAAAACAGCAGGUCAUUACUUUGCUUGAUUCAUUGGUUUACUGGGCUUAGCUGGGCCACAUGGUGUGUCUGUGGCCCCUCAAGCAUUGGACUGGGAAUUCAGUUGGGGCCAGAAUAUCCAAGAGUGCCUCUCACCCACCAGUGUAUCCUCCAGAUGGGUUUCACAUUGGGGAGUCCAGCUUGGGCUUCUUUAUAGUAUGGUAUCUGGCUUUCAAGAGUGUAAGCUCCAAGGUACAAGUGCUUGUCAUGCCGGUGCUUGCAUCAUGCUUGCUAACAUCCCAUUGGCUAAAGCAAGUCUCCUGACCAACCCGAGAGUCAUUGUGGGACUAUAUGGAUAUAGUGAGAUCAUGGAGAGCCCCCACAGUAACAGUUGGUCCCAUCAGACGAAAAUGUUAAAUGUGAAAGAUAAGUAUAACUCUCCUUAUAUAAUAUUUUAUUAUGUAAAAGAUGCUUUUCUCAUGUUAAGUCUCACAAUUCUGUAGGGUGUGAAAAUCAUUUGGAAUUGCUGCCUUUUCAUAGAUGAGGAGAACAUGCAUCCUUGAGAAUAGUAAUAUAAUAUUUAAAUUGAAUCCUUAAAUGAUUUGACCAAGACAGCAUAGAAGAUAAACAGGACAACUGUGACUUGAGUCUAGUUUUUCUGACUUUAAGGAUGGUUUCAGUGCUGCUGUUCCACAGUAACCACAGUAUCUUUAGCCCCCCAACACAAAAUGGCAAAAUAUUGGCCUAAUAUACCAAACUGGUCCUCUAGAAUGCAUAUUGCCAUUUUUAUAUCGUCUUUUGAGAUUUUUAUUAGGUGCCACUGAGAUCGUAGAAAUGGAAGAACUCUAGUUACACCUGUAAAGAUCUUUUUCUGACAAAAGAGUUUAUGUGGAUAUCCUCAGUUGCUUGCAAGGCCACAGUAGUGUAUAGCUUCAUGUAGUGUCACAUUAUUAAUUCAUAUGUUCAGUAAAUAUUUGGUGAGUGCCUGUUUUAUGUUCCUGGCACUGUCUUGGGUGCUGGGGUUAUGCAUGUGAACAAAACAGACCAAAAAAAUCCCUGCUUUUGUGGAGCUUAUCCUCUGUUAGAAAAAAAUCAGAGAAAAUAAAGGGAAAAAAAGUGUGGAGGGGGGGGUCGCAGUUUUAAUUGGAGUGGACAGGGUAGCUCUCACUGAGAAAGUGAUAUAUGUGAUAAGAGUUAAAGGGAAUAAGGAAGAGAGACAUGCAGAUAUUUAGGAAAUGAGCAUCAUAAGCCAAAAGAAGAAUAAAUGCAAAAUCCCUGAGUUGGGUAUGCUUGGUUUAGGAAACAACAAGGAAGCCAGUGUAGUAAUGGGGCAUCAUGGAGACAAGGUUAGAGCAGUGCUAAGGACUAGAUCAUGUAGGUUCUGGAUGUCAUUACAGGGACUUUUCAUUUGCUUUGAAUGAGAUGGGAAGCCACCACUUGAUAGAGAGGCCACCUAACCUAUUCUUCAACUUCCAGAAAAAGCUGCCAAAGGAGAUGGAGGGAUACUUAUUACAAAUGCUGAUUCUAACCCAGAUCUUUUUAAAUUGCUCCCAGCUGCAUCCUAUGUCCACUAAACUUUGUGAAGUACUGCCUGACCUAUUAGCACAAUUCAGCUUUCAAAGAGCAGAUAAUCAACCUCAAUUUUACCAUCUGGGUAAUGCUAAAUGAGGCCCACUUCCAGUUGGGUUAAUAAAGCUAUGAAGAGACUGCAUAUUUCUGCAAACCAGCGCUGAUCUAGCAUCUUAGAAACUCCCCAUAAGACCCCAGGAAGAAGUAUCUGCAAAAUCUCUGAGGUGUGCAUGUGGAAUCUGCACAGCAGCAUUAAGCAUAAAGCACUGGGUUUCCUGUUCCUUUCUCAGAUCUGGAAUUAUUAUCAAGCAAAUGUAUCACAGCCUGUAGCUGAAGAGCAAAGUCCCUCUGAACCCUUGAACCCCUGAAGCCCCUUUUCCUAGACUGAUUUUAGAAUGGGUAAAUGACUCCUAAAACUAGCCAUGUAGUAAUAGAAUACUUCCAAGUUCUUUCAUCCACAAGGAACGACAUGUUGGUUUCAAUCAGAUUUAAUUUUGGUGUAAUCUUAGAUUCAUUAUCUUUUUCUUACUAAUAGAAAAGAGAAACUAGAAAAUAUAGUUUGGGGUUGGAUUGAAGAGAAACAAAAAACGUGGUUUUUGUUUUUGAAAUUUAUAAGUGUAAUUUCAAAUUACAUAAGCAUAGACUAAAAUGAAAUGUUUGGAAAUUCGAUAAUAUAUUUUUUCCUUAAAUUAAUAGUGUGUUUCAAAAUAUUGACUUUAGAACAAGCUACUAAGGCGAUCACAUACUUGGAGAAUGCCAGCUUGGUUGUUUUGUUUUGUUUUAAGAAUGCUAAGAAGCUAAGAGCUGAAACAAGCUAGAUAAAGCAAUAAAUUGUCUCUUUUGGGUCUUGAUGCACUAAUCACUUCUUCAAAAAACAAAACGAAACAUUUUUUUCUUCUUCCACUUUCUGUACCCCAUGAAACUUGCUUUCUGUAACCAGCUAUUUGUUGGGCUUUCCCACUGAUUGUUGGAGGUAAUGACCAUUCACAUAUUAUGAGUUACCUCCAGUUGCUUUAUAUCCUUACUGUAUUUCCAUUUGCAUGUUAAACAAUAAUAUAAAAUCAUUUGUAAAAUGGCAUUUUCAGAAUACCUUAAACACAUAUCAGUUCCCUUUUUCUAAUCUUCAAAAUUGUCCAUUUAGAAGUUCCCAUUGUGGCUCAGUGGGUUAAGAACCUGACAUAGUGUCUGUAAGGAUACAGACAGGGAUACAGAUCCCUGGCCUCACUCAGUGUGUUAAGGAUGCGCUCGGAUCUGGUGUUGCUGUGGCCAUGGUGUAGGCCUGCAGCCAGCUGCAGCUCCAAUUCGAUCCGUAGCUCAGGAACUUCCAUAUGCCUUAGGUGCAGCCAUUAAAAAAAAGGCAAUAAUAAAUUUUUCAUCUCUUCAAAUGAUGCAGAUAGGUGGUCAAAUACCUUUUAAAUUAACCUUGAAGCAAAAUGACUUAAUCAAGAGCAGGGAUAGCCUACCAUCUCUAGGAGUGAUACGAGACAAAAUGAGUACUAGUUUUCUAAUAUAAAUCACAUAAUUGGAUUAGAGCUUUUUGUGUAUUUUAUUUGUUACUUUCUAAAAUGGAAUAGAGAACAAAAGGAGUUAAGGAAGGAUGAGCAAUACACCUGGCCAAGGGGGUCAAGGAAGGGUUUCGAUAGCAUAAAUUAAGAAACAAUAUUUCCUUUUGUUGUCUUGAAAGAAAGCUUUACAGUGUCCAAAUUGAGCCUAGACUAAACAGCCCCUAAAGUAUGUUCUAAAUGUAAAAUUUUAUUUGAUACUAAAAAUUUGUAAAGAUUCAAGUAACAUUGAAAUGAAAAAGAUAUUCAAGAAAAUAUAAAAAGACAAGCACUCGCUACCUUGAAUCUGUAAUUGUACCAAUUACAUAGAAAGCCUGGCUUUGGUAGUAGUUUUCAACAUGGCAACUUGAAAUAUAAGAAAUAAUUUACAACACACAAUACAGGUGCAUGACUAGAAUUUGUUUCAGCAGAUAUUUUCCAGGACAAAGACUCUACUGACAAAUUAUGCAUAUUUAGAAACUAUAUUAACCUGGUUUUUAAAUAAUAAUUAUGCUUAUAUUUUGCAUGGUCUACUCCCAGUUGUUGUAUAGUGAAUAUAUUAUGGAGAUGUUCAAUUUUGAGUUAAUAAUGGUUAUUAACCACUCUAAGAAAUGAAUGUUCUAGCAAUGCAUAUGCUGGUUAAGAUUCAACAAAAAUGCAUUCACUUAUCUAGGAAAUAUUUACUGACCUCUUAUAUGCAAAGCACUAUGUGAAACACUUGAAGAUUUACUAAGAUAAACCUGUUAGUUAUUUCAAGGUAAUUACAGUUCAGUAGAAAUUAAAAGAUCAUUAUCAGCAAUAGAAAAAGUAUUUGACUUAGAAGUACAGCCUGAUGAAGGAGGCAGUAACAUACUAUUCAUUUUAAUAGAUAAUAAUAAAAAUAGUUAAAAUUUUUGAAAAGUAAUUAUUUAUGAUUGCAGUGUUGAAAUUGUCAUGCAUUUUUAGAAGUCUGAUAGGACCUGGGUGAGGAGGUCAUGAAAAAUGUAGUUAUUAUGGAGAUUUCAGAAACUAGAGGACUUCUAGAAAAAAUGGGGUUCUUUAUAUAUUCAUUUUAUUUUCAGUUUCCACUAUGGCCGUAAUUAAAGUUUAUGUUUCUUUUAUUCCUCUCUUCAAACUUUAGUUCCCUGACUUUCACUAUUAACCAUAUACCAAAAGUAUGUCCAUGUGUGCAUAUAUUAAAGGGUGUAAUGCCUAGGGUAAUAAAUGGAAAUUCAAAAGUUUGCUAAUCCAUAGUGGGUCAACUCAAUGUUCAUUCUAUAAACAACCAUGAAAUAAGCUAAAUAUUAUAAAAUUUUUCAUCUCAGAAACAAAAGUGCCUGACAUAUUUCUUUUGACUUUAUUCCAUUUUCUCAGAAGGAGAGCAGUGUGAUUACCUUUCUUGAUAGAAAAAUAAUAAAGGAACCAUAGGCUAUUCAAAUAGAGAAAUCGCAAGUAGAUAUUUCAUUGGCCACAAUUACACUUUCCUAUUUAGUUGUCCCAAAUAUUUUCUUGGAACAGUCUGAGUUGCAAAUUACUAAAGAAAUAAACAUCUCUUAUUUCAACAUAUUAUGAACACUGACGCAUGCUCCCUCAGGAAUACCUGUUAGUAAUGAGUCAGUUAUUUGGGGUGAUUUGAAACUUCAUUAUGAGGCAAACCAUUUUAGUAGUUUUUGGAAAAACAUGAUUUAGGUGUUUUUCUAAAGUGUAGUUUGUUUUUCUAAAGUGUAGUUUGUGUU